Long non-coding RNA from Mirounga angustirostris (Northern elephant seal), 158 nucleotides. RefSeq lists it as uncharacterized. The transcript is spliced from 3 exons. NCBI's taxonomy places the organism in Eukaryota, Metazoa, Chordata, Mammalia, Carnivora, Phocidae. The record is from RefSeq and is a predicted model, not a curated record.
CUGAUCCAGAGGACGAGUUUCUUCCCAGAUCGCUUGUUUAAAAGAAUAACUCAUAUACCCAAUCAGAAUGGUGUACUAUUGCUCAUGACGUGGACACUGGUGUGUUUUCUUGGCACGAAGGAGCACAAAAGGAAAACCCACCUGGAAGCAGCUUAAAG